GGGAUUAGCUGGCGGCAGGCCUACACAUGCAAGUCGAGCGGUAGCACAGAGAGCUUGCUCUCGGGUGACGAGCGGCGGACGGGUGAGUAAUGUCUGGGAAACUGCCUGAUGGAGGGGGAUAACUACUGGAAACGGUAGCUAAUACCGCAUAACGUCGCAAGACCAAAGUGGGGGACCUUCGGGCCUCAUGCCAUCAGAUGUGCCCAGAUGGGAUUAGCUAGUAGGUGGGGUAACGGCUCACCUAGGCGACGAUCCCUAGCUGGUCUGAGAGGAUGACCAGCCACACUGGAACUGAGACACGGUCCAGACUCCUACGGGAGGCAGCAGUGGGGAAUAUUGCACAAUGGGCGCAAGCCUGAUGCAGCCAUGCCGCGUGUGUGAAGAAGGCCUUCGGGUUGUAAAGCACUUUCAGCGGGGAGGAAGGCGUUAAGGUUAAUAACCUUGUCGAUUGACGUUACCCGCAGAAGAAGCACCGGCUAACUCCGUGCCAGCAGCCGCGGUAAUACGGAGGGUGCAAGCGUUAAUCGGAAUUACUGGGCGUAAAGCGCACGCAGGCGGUCUGUCAAGUCGGAUGUGAAAUCCCCGGGCUCAACCUGGGAACUGCAUUCGAAACUGGCAGGCUAGAGUCUUGUAGAGGGGGGUAGAAUUCCAGGUGUAGCGGUGAAAUGCCUACAGAUCUGGACGAAUACCGGUGGCGAAAGCGGCCCCCUGGACAAAGACUGACGCUCACGUGCGAAAGCGUGUGGAGCAGACAGGAUUAGAUACCCUGGUAGUCCACGCCGUAGACGAUGUCCAUCUGGAGGUUGUGCCCUUGAGGCGUGGCUUCCGGAGCUAACGCGUUAAAUCGACCGCCUGCCGAGUACAGCCGCAAGGUUAGAACUCAAAUGAAUUGACGGGGGCCCGCACAAGCGGUGGAGCAUGUGGUUUAUUUCAAUGCAACGCGGACGACCCUUACCUGGUCUUGACUUCCACACACCUUUCCGUAUAUGAAUUGAUGCCUUCGGAAACUGUUAGACAGGUGCUGCAUGGCUGUCGUCACCUCGGGUG
This 1047-nucleotide ribosomal RNA is filed under the name Klebsiella sp. RNAcentral's name for it is "bacterial SSU rRNA". It matches the Rfam family "Bacterial small subunit ribosomal RNA", at positions 25 to 1066 of the family's 1533-position model. Lineage: Bacteria; Pseudomonadati; Pseudomonadota; Gammaproteobacteria; Enterobacterales; Enterobacteriaceae. The record is from RNAcentral.